RNAcentral lists this ribosomal RNA (1372 nucleotides) under uncultured bacterium. RNAcentral describes it as "bacterial SSU rRNA". It matches the Rfam family "Bacterial small subunit ribosomal RNA", at positions 28 to 1381 of the family's 1533-position model. The record is from RNAcentral.
GAUGAACGCUGGCGGCGUGCCUAAUACAUGCAAGUCGAGCGAACGGACGAGAAGCUUGCUUCUCUGAUGUUAGCGGCGGACGGGUGAGUAACACGUGGAUAACCUACCUAUAAGACUGGGAUAACUUCGGGAAACCGGAGCUAAUACCGGAUAAUAUUUUGAACCGCAUGGUUCAAAAGUGAAAGACGGUCUUGCUGUCACUUAUAGAUGGAUCCGCGCUGCAUUAGCUAGUUGGUAAGGUAACGGCUUACCAAGGCAACGAUGCAUAGCCGACCUGAGAGGGUGAUCGGCCACACUGGAACUGAGACACGGUCCAGACUCCUACGGGAGGCAGCAGUAGGGAAUCUUCCGCAAUGGGCGAAAGCCUGACGGAGCAACGCCGCGUGAGUGAUGAAGGUCUUCGGAUCGUAAAACUCUGUUAUUAGGGAAGAACAUAUGUGUAAGUAACUGUGCACAUCUUGACGGUACCUAAUCAGAAAGCCACGGCUAACUACGUGCCAGCAGCCGCGGUAAUACGUAGGUGGCAAGUGUUAUCCGGAAUUAUUGGGCGUAAAGCGCGCGUAGGCGGUUUUUUAAGUCUGAUGUGAAAGCCCACGGCUCAACCGUGGAGAGUCAUUGGAAACUGGAAAACUUGAGUGCAGAAGAGGAAAGUGGAAUUCCAUGUGUAGCGGUGAAAUGCGCAGAGAUAUGGAGGAACACCAGUGGCGAAGGCGACUUUCUGGUCUGUAACUGACGCUGAUGUGCGAAAGCGUGGGGAUCAAACAGGAUUAGAUACCCUGGUAGUCCACGCCGUAAACGAUGAGUGCUAAGUGUUAGGGGGUUUCCGCCCCUUAGUGCUGCAGCUAACGCAUUAAGCACUCCGCCUGGGGAGUACGACCGCAAGGUUGAAACUCAAAGGAAUUGACGGGGACCCGCACAAGCGGUGGAGCAUGUGGUUUAAUUCGAAGCAACGCGAAGAACCUUACCAAAUCUUGACAUCCUUUGACAACUCUAGAGAUAGAGCUUUCCCCUUCGGGGGACAAAGUGACAGGUGGUGCAUGGUUGUCGUCAGCUCGUGUCGUGAGAUGUUGGGUUAAGUCCCGCAACGAGCGCAACCCUUAAGCUUAGUUGCCAUCAUUAAGUUGGGCACUCUAAGUUGACUGCCGGUGACAAACCGGAGGAAGGUGGGGAUGACGUCAAAUCAUCAUGCCCCUUAUGAUUUGGGCUACACACGUGCUACAAUGGACAAUACAAAGGGCAGCGAAACCGCGAGGUCAAGCAAAUCCCAUAAAGUUGUUCUCAGUUCGGAUUGUAGUCUGCAACUCGACUACAUGAAGCUGGAAUCGCUAGUAAUCGUAGAUCAGCAUGCUACGGUGAAUACGUUCCCGGGUCU